AUGGAUUGAGAGCUUGCUCUCAAGAAGUUAGCGGCGGACGGGUGAGUAACACGUGGGUAACCUGCCCAUAAGACUGGGAUAACUCCGGGAAACCGGGGCUAAUACCGGAUAANAUUUUGAACUGCAUGGUUCGAAAUUGAAAGGCGGCUUCGGCUGUCACUUAUGGAUGGACCCGCGUCGCAUUAGCUAGUUGGUGAGGUAACGGCUCACCAAGGCAACGAUGCGUAGCCGACCUGAGAGGGUGGAUCGGCCACACUGGGACUGAGACACGGGCCCAGACUCCUACGGGAGGCAGCAGUAGGGAAUCUUCCGCAAUGGACGAAAGUCUGACGGAGCAACGCCGCGUGAGUGAUGAAGGCUUUCGGGUCGUAAAACUCUGUUGUUAGGGAAGAACAAGUGCUAGUUGAAUAAGCUGGCACCUUGACGGUACCUAACCAGAAAGCCACGGCUAACUACGUGCCAGCAGCCGCGGUAAUACGUAGGUGGCAAGCGUUAUCCGGAAUUAUUGGGCGUAAAGCGCGCGCAGGUGGUUUCUUAAGUCUGAUGUGAAAGCCCACGGCUCAACCGUGGAGGGUCAUUGGAAACUGGGAGACUUGAGUGCAGAAGAGGAAAGUGGAAUUCCAUGUGUAGCGGUGAAAUGCGUAGAGAUAUGGGAGGAACACCAGUGGCGAAGGCGACUUUCUGGUCUGUAACUGACACUGAGGCGCGAAAGCGUGGGGAGCAAACAGGAUUAGAUACCCUGGUAGUCCACGCCGUAAACGAUGAGU
This 767-nucleotide ribosomal RNA is filed under the name Bacillus thuringiensis. RNAcentral's name for it is "bacterial SSU rRNA". It matches the Rfam family "Bacterial small subunit ribosomal RNA", at positions 69 to 814 of the family's 1533-position model. Lineage: Bacteria; Bacillati; Bacillota; Bacilli; Caryophanales; Bacillaceae. The record is from RNAcentral.